This 446-nucleotide ribosomal RNA is filed under the name uncultured Alphaproteobacteria bacterium. RNAcentral's name for it is "bacterial SSU rRNA". It matches the Rfam family "Bacterial small subunit ribosomal RNA", at positions 45 to 535 of the family's 1533-position model. The record is from RNAcentral. Lineage: Bacteria; Pseudomonadati; Pseudomonadota; Alphaproteobacteria.
UGCCUCAUACAUGCAAGUCGAACGAGGUCUUCGGACCUAGUGGCGCACGGGUGAGUAACAUGUGGGAAUCUACCUAAAGGUUCGGAAUAACUGCGGGAAACUGUAGCUAAUACCGGAUGUGUCUGCAAAGAGAAAGAUUUAUCGCCUUUAGAUGAGCCCGCACUAGAUUAGCUAGUUGGUGAGGUAAUUGCUCCACCAAGGCUACGAUCUAUAGCUGAUUUGAGAGGAUGAUCAGCCACACUGGGACUGAGACACGGCCCAGACUCCUACGGGAGGCAGCAGUAGGGAAUAUUGGACAAUGGGGGAAACCCUGAUCCAGCAAUGCCGCGUGAGUGAAGAAGGCCUUCGGGUUGUAAAACUCUUUCAUCAAUGAUGAUAAUGACAUUAGUUGAAGAAGAAGCUCCGGCUAACUUCGUGCCAGCAGCCGCGGUAAUACGAAGGGGGCU